This 253-nucleotide ribosomal RNA is filed under the name uncultured bacterium. Its description in RNAcentral is "partial 16S ribosomal RNA". It matches the Rfam family "Bacterial small subunit ribosomal RNA", at positions 524 to 776 of the family's 1533-position model. The record is from RNAcentral.
UACGUAGGGUGCAAGCGUUAAUCGGAAUUACUGGGCGUAAAGCGUGCGCAGGCGGUUCGGAAAGAGAGGUGUGAAAUCCCAGGGCUUAACCUUGGAACUGCACUUUUAACUCCCGAGCUAGAGUAUGUCAGAGGGGGGUGGAAUUCCGCGUGUAGCAGUGAAAUGCGUAGAUAUGCGGAGGAACACCGAUGGCGAAGGCAGCCCCCUGGGAUAAUACUGACGCUCAUGCACGAAAGCGUGGGGAGCAAACAGG